Molecule: transfer RNA, 85 nt
Filed under: Felis catus (domestic cat)
Lineage: Eukaryota; Metazoa; Chordata; Mammalia; Carnivora; Felidae
Rfam family: tRNA
About the family: Transfer RNA (tRNA) molecules are approximately 80 nucleotides in length.
Source: Rfam by way of RNAcentral
GCCUGGGUAGCUCAGUCGGUUGAGCGUCCGACUUUGGCUCAGGUCACGAUCUUGUGUUUUGUGGGUUCAAGCCCCGUGUCAGGCU